Long non-coding RNA from Bombus pyrosoma, 263 nucleotides. RefSeq lists it as uncharacterized. The record is from RefSeq and is a predicted model, not a curated record. The transcript is spliced from 3 exons. NCBI's taxonomy places the organism in Eukaryota, Metazoa, Arthropoda, Insecta, Hymenoptera, Apidae.
GGAUAACAUCGCGCGACAGGUUCGUGCAACAUUUGCUUCGCGUUGAAGGAACAUUUUAAAAAUACAACGUUGGAUAGCGAUUGCUUGAGGGUAGAAUGUAUGGCUCUCGUUUCUCGAAGACAGACGAUCGGGACGUUACAAUGAACGUGGGGCGCCUCGGGAUGAUCGUGACCAGGUAGAAUUACGAGUUACGCGUAAUCGAAGGAACGGAUGACUACGUCAACAUCAAAGGAAGAGACGUAACAAGUUGUAGUUAAUAGGUA